Molecule: ribosomal RNA, 482 nt
Filed under: uncultured bacterium
Lineage: Bacteria
Description: SSU rRNA
Rfam family: Bacterial small subunit ribosomal RNA
Source: RNAcentral
AGGACGAACGCUGGCGGCGUGCUUAACACAUGCAAGUCGAACGGUGACCCUCGGAGCUUGCUUCGGGGUGAUCAGUGGCGAACGGGUGAGUAACACGUGAGUAACCUGCCCCAGACUCUGGGAUAACCCCGGGAAACCGGAGCUAAUACCGGAUACGACACGGAGAGGCAUCUCUACCGUGUGGAAAGUUUUUCGGUCUGGGAUGGACUCGCGGCCUAUCAGCUUGUUGGUGAGGUAAUGGCUCACCAAGGCGACGACGGGUAGCCGGCCUGAGAGGGCGACCGGCCACACUGGGACUGAGACACGGCCCAGACUCCUACGGGAGGCAGCAGUGGGGAAUAUUGCACAAUGGGCGAAAGCCUGAUGCAGCGACGCCGCGUGAGGGAUGAAGGCCUUCGGGUUGUAACCUCUUCAGCAGGAGAAGCGAAAGUGACGGUACCUGCAGAAGAAGCACCGGCUAACUACGCGCCAGCAGCCGCGGU